Molecule: ribosomal RNA, 264 nt
Filed under: uncultured bacterium
Lineage: Bacteria
Description: partial 16S ribosomal RNA
Rfam family: Bacterial small subunit ribosomal RNA
Source: RNAcentral
GUCCACGCCGUAAACGAUGGAUGCUAGCCGUUGGCAGGCUUGCCUGUCAGUGGCGCAGCUAACGCAUUAAGCAUCCCGCCUGGGGAGUACGGUCGCAAGAUUAAAACUCAAAGGAAUUGACGGGGGCCCGCACAAGCGGUGGAGCAUGUGGUUCAAUUCGAAGCAACGCGCAGAACCUUACCAGCUUUUGACAUGGCAGGACGGUUUCCAGAGAUGGACUCCUUCCCUUCGGGGACCUGCACACAGGUGCUGCAUGGCUGUCGU